This 496-nucleotide ribosomal RNA is filed under the name uncultured bacterium. Its description in RNAcentral is "bacterial SSU rRNA". It matches the Rfam family "Bacterial small subunit ribosomal RNA", at positions 8 to 526 of the family's 1533-position model. The record is from RNAcentral.
AGAGUUUGAUCCUGGCUCAGGAUGAACGCUGGCGGCGUGCCUAAUACAUGCAAGUCGAACGGGUGCUCGCAAGAGCAUCAGUGGCGAACGGGUGAGUAACGCGUUGGUGACCUGCCCUGGAGAGCGGGAUAACAGGCCGAAAGGCUUGCUAAUACCGCAUGACCAAAUGGUAGUUAGAGAGCCAUUUGGAAAGGACGUAAGUCGCUCUGGGAGGGGCCUGCGACCCAUCAGCUAGUUGGUAAGGUAACGGCCUACCAAGGCGAUGACGGGUAGGGGACCUGAGAGGGUGGCCCCCCACAAUGGAACUGAAACACGGUCCAUACACCUACGGGUGGCAGCAGUAGGGAAUAUUGCUUAAUGGGCGCAAGCCUGAAGCAGCAACGCCGCGUGUGCGAUGAAGGCCUUCGGGUUGUAAAGCACUUUUUGCUGGGAAGAGGAAGGACGGUACCAGCAGAAUAAGCCUCGGCUAACUACGUGCCAGCAGCCGCGGUAAUAC